This is a non-coding RNA of Budorcas taxicolor (takin), 72 nucleotides long. The record is from the annotation of a RefSeq genome assembly. NCBI's taxonomy places the organism in Eukaryota, Metazoa, Chordata, Mammalia, Artiodactyla, Bovidae.
UCCCUGGUGGCUCAGAUGGUAAAGCGUCUGCCUACCACCCAGGAGACCUGGGUUCGAUCCCUAGGUAGGGAA